GACGAACGCUGGCGGCGUGCUUAACACAUGCAAGUCGAACGGAAAGGCCCUGCUUUUGUGGGGUGCUCGAGUGGCGAACGGGUGAGUAACACGUGAGUAACCUGCCCUUGACUUUGGGAUAACUCCAGGAAACUGGGGCUAAUACCGGAUAGGAGCUCCUGCUGCAUGGUGGGGGUUGGAAAGUUUCGGCGGUUGGGGCUGGACUCGCGGCUUAUCAGCUUGUUGGUGGGGUAGUGGCUUACCAAGGCUUUGACGGGUAGCCGGCCUGAGAGGGUGACCGGCCACAUUGGGACUGCGAUACGGCCCAGACUCCUACGGGAGGCAGCAGUGGGGAAUAUUGCACAAUGGGCGGAAGCCUGAUGCAGCAACGCCGCGUGCGGGAUGACGGCCUUCGGGUUGUAAACCGCUUUCGCCUGUGACGAAGCGUGAGUGACGGUAAUGGGUAAAGAAGCACCGGCUAACUACGUG
Molecule: ribosomal RNA, 468 nt
Filed under: uncultured bacterium
Lineage: Bacteria
Description: partial 16S ribosomal RNA
Rfam family: Bacterial small subunit ribosomal RNA
Source: RNAcentral